Long non-coding RNA from Dermacentor silvarum, 471 nucleotides. RefSeq lists it as uncharacterized. The transcript is spliced from 2 exons. NCBI's taxonomy places the organism in Eukaryota, Metazoa, Arthropoda, Arachnida, Ixodida, Ixodidae. The record is from RefSeq and is a predicted model, not a curated record.
UAUGAGGAAAAGCCAAAAGCAGCAAUGCAUGUGUUCUGCUUUUAUAAGGUGGAAAUGAGAAAGAAAAGACAAAUUAUUUCUACACACAAUCGCAAGUUUAUUGGCAAAAGUGCUCCGAUGAAGUCAACAAUCAUGUCAUAUGCUAUCUCUUACACUCUUUAACACAUGGUUCUUGGGUCUUCAAAGAUAACGACAGUCGGAGCAUUUCCUGCUCUGUUGUAUCAGUCAUGGAUGUUAUUUUGGCAGCCUGCAACGACUUUGCGCAUUUGCUCGACUAGCUGCAUCCGUUCAUUAGUCUUGACACACUACUGAACCUUACCACCAACACCAUUUAUCAUUCAAUAGGUGGCAGAGGAACGAUUUAAUGUUUUUCUUUUUAACUCUGCCUCUUAAUUAUCAUCACAAACGCAGCAAGUCAUACCGGAAUGACAUCUACCGGGAUUACGACAGCUAGAUCUCUUAACAAACAAA